Molecule: non-coding RNA, 22 nt
Filed under: Arabidopsis thaliana (thale cress)
Lineage: Eukaryota; Viridiplantae; Streptophyta; Magnoliopsida; Brassicales; Brassicaceae
Source: RNAcentral
AGGAAAUGUAUGGCCUUCGGAC